This is a non-coding RNA of Biomphalaria pfeifferi, 614 nucleotides long. Lineage: Eukaryota; Metazoa; Mollusca; Gastropoda; Planorbidae. The record is from the annotation of a GenBank genome assembly.
AUUUUCUUCUCGUUCCAAAGUUUUAUUUUUAAUCUUUUACAAAAUCAUCAUCAACUUUUCACAGAAAAAAAAAAAAAACAAUAUAGAAAUGCGAAACAAAAAUCACAUCACCGCUUUAAAGACCAAGUACGUCCCCACGGGCCGUAGUUUUGGCUUAAAACAAGAAACAUAACCCAAAACUACAGGUACAAAUUACUUUUUGAUAUUGUAAUUACCAUAACGGUAAAUUUUGUUUACCAAAUAUCAUGCACUCAAUGUGUACAUUUGUUGUCACUUCACGUUAAAGGUAUAAUUAAAAGUACAGGAAAAAAAGGAAAAACCUGUUUUUGAUCUUAGAACUUUAGCCUUUGGCAACUGAUGCAAAUCUGCUGCAUUUAAAUAUCGUCUGCUUAUGUCUAGUGAUGCAAAUAUCAUGGUGUGGUGCAUAGGUUAACGUCAAGUAACAAAAACAUAACAUUAGGUAAUAUAUGUUUUGUGUCAGAAAAAAAGAGUUGUAGAAACUAUAACUAUGUUACCGAAAAGUGUCACUGGGUGUUACUGGCAUGAGUGCCUUCACAACCGGAAUAGAUUAACGGGGCUCAUGACAUUCUUCUUCUUGUCAUUGUCUUAAGAGU